AACAUCUCAUCCGUGCCUUUUCAGUUGUUGGAUCGAGCACUCGUUUGGCCACAAACGGUGUUCUCGCGUUGCAUACCUACCAAGAAGGUAUUACGUCGGCUAUAUAUGUCCCAUUGUCGCCUUGUGCUGUUUCCCUUUGCUGGGAUGUGGUGCGGGGUGCACUUCAAUGCUGGCGCCGUGUUUCGCACCGUGCUCACCUCUACGGGAGUUCCGGUUCCCGACCCACGGUGUCGUGCUUGAUUUCUCGGGUGCGGAAUACCACGUGGGAUUAGAGGCCCUUGGCCUCCAUUCCCACAAUAAAAGAGCGCUCUACGCUUAAUGCGAACGACUGUCGGCUCGGUCUUCCAUUGUGCUCUCGUAGUCCGAUUGGAGUCGUGUCGGCGUCGG
This 387-nucleotide unclassified non-coding RNA is filed under the name Elsholtzia cephalantha. RNAcentral's name for it is "partial external transcribed spacer". The record is from RNAcentral. Lineage: Eukaryota; Viridiplantae; Streptophyta; Magnoliopsida; Lamiales; Lamiaceae.